AUGCAAGUCCCCAGCGCGAGCCCGCACUCACCGGCGGCAGCAGCCCCACCAGCCCAGCUUCUCCUCUCGGGUCGCAGCCAGCCACACCAAGAGCUUCCGAAACGCAAAGAUCUCUGCGGGUUCCGCACGCCCGCGCGCCAGUGGGCGGGGCCGGCUGACGCUCGACCUUUCACCCGCGUGUCUCUGACGCCACCGGAAGCCGGCUCCGGGUCUGUCACCAGGCAUUCCUCUGUUGCCUUGACUACGGCGGGCGUUGUGGGAGUGGAGAAGCCGCAAGUGCUGAGGGAAGGUGGAGGAAGGCAUGGCAGCCAAGAGCAUGAGGAGCUGGUGUCUGUGUCAGAUUUGUUCCCUGCGGAUCAAGGGACGAGGACGCAGCGACAUCCCCACCUAUCCCGUUCCACGAAUACUCGCUCCGCACCCGCCGGCUACCUGGGGGUAAACGUUUCUUCGUAGCCCCUGAGACUCUGCAAUCAAGGAUGCAAAGUAAAAUGCCACCCAGGCCGGGUAAUAUAUGUGAAGCAGCGACGGAUAUAAGACUGGCAGGGAGUAGUGGGAUGUGAUCCCGACUGGGAGAAUGCAUUUCCACCCCGUCAUCCCUCACCACAAAGAUGAAAAAGAACAGUGCUCAAGGCCCUGAGUCUGCAACCCAUAUCACACUUUCUUUCAUCUGCUUUCUGUCCUCCCAGCCAGACCAUAUUCGUGAUUCCUCGGGCCUCCGCUCUUUGGGAUCCGCCUGACUGAAAAGGCAGUAUAGUAGUCCCCACCCUGAAACCUAGAAUCCAACUGAGUCUUGCCUAACAACCUUCCAUCACCUAGAAACACAGUCUUCUCCUUCCUCAGCUUCACUGUUGACCCAGGGAUUAGAUCAUUAUUUGCUAAGUAAAUAUGAAAGUGUCAAUCCCUUCGUAUUUGUAAUCCCCUUCAAAGAAAACACCUGUAAUGUUGAUGGAAAGCAGUUUUUUGAUAGUCUCAUAAUAAACACAGUUCGUGAAUUAGAAGUAGAUUAAAAUAUCAACAAAUUAACUUUGGGUGUAUGAAUCUGCAGACUGGUGUGCAGGAGACAAUUUUUACUUUUUUCCUAAUUUACAUUCAACGCAAGUUCCUUUCUCAUUCAACUGUUAGGAAAUUCAGUCUUCAUUAUGUUGAGGGCUACCCUUGGAAUGGUGUGAUUUUACUUUUUCUUUGUUUUUGGUUGUGGUUGUUUGGUUUUUUAAGGGUUUUAUUUUUAUUUUUUGAUACUGCAAUAAAUACACAAGAGGUGUCAUAAAAAUCCAUAAUAUUGUAAAAUAUCUAUAUUAUAAAACACUUUCAUAAUUCUAUCUUCCACAGAUAACAAAUGUUCUUUAAGACUUGUUUU
RNAcentral lists this long non-coding RNA (1357 nucleotides) under Papio anubis (olive baboon). Its description in RNAcentral is "lncRNA (ENSPANG00000046124.1)". The record is from RNAcentral. Lineage: Eukaryota; Metazoa; Chordata; Mammalia; Primates; Cercopithecidae.